CAAAACAGCAUCUUCCUCUCCAGCAAAAGAAACGACUCUCUCUCUCUCUCUCUUUCUCCCUCUCUCAUUUCCCUAUCCAUCUGCCUCUGCCUCUCCUUCUCCCUCACCUUCUAUCUAGUUGUCGCUUUGCUAUUUCAGUAAAAGAUUUAGGGUUCUGUUAUUUCAAAUAUAUUUAUAUGCAGAUUAAGGCUUUUUCUUUGUCAGAUUUGAGUUCUGACAUGUAUGAGAGCGAAGUGCUUGACCGCAAGAAGAAGAGGUCGUUGAAGAACGUUACUGGGGAUCAAAUCGCUGAGUAAGGAGCAACAGAAGAUUGUAAUUUCUUAUGUUAGGGUUUUUAUGUUUUAUGUUUUAUGUUUUAUAAAUUUGUAAUUGUUAUUAAUUGUAUGGUGUGCUCCCUUUGAUUAAAUAGGCAACUCGAAGAUCGUUUCAGGCUAUUCAAAUUAUUCGAACCCCUUUGGUGAUUCCAAUCUCAGUGAAAUGUAGUUUUUAUCUUUGUUUUUUGGGAUUUAUGUGAGGAAGUUUGCUGAUAGAGGUUUUAGCUUUCCAAUUUCAAAUGUCGAAUUCAAGCUUCCGAGGUUUCAGUUAGAGAUUUACAUGCUCCCUUCUUCUCCCUCUUCCUAUCUCUGGUUUUUUAUUUGCUAUUUCAUUAAGAG
RNAcentral lists this long non-coding RNA (653 nucleotides) under Prunus dulcis (almond). The record is from RNAcentral. Lineage: Eukaryota; Viridiplantae; Streptophyta; Magnoliopsida; Rosales; Rosaceae.